RNAcentral lists this ribosomal RNA (253 nucleotides) under uncultured bacterium. RNAcentral's name for it is "partial 16S ribosomal RNA". It matches the Rfam family "Bacterial small subunit ribosomal RNA", at positions 524 to 776 of the family's 1533-position model. The record is from RNAcentral.
UGCAGAGGCCUCGAGCGUUAGGCGGAAUCACUGGGCUUAAAGCGUGUGUAGGUGGAUGCCUAAGUACCUUGUGAAAUCCCACGGCUUAACCGUGGAACUGCUGGGUAUACUGGGUGUCUUGAGCCACUCAGGGGCUACCGGAACAAACGGUGGAGCGGUGAAAUGCGUAGAUAUCGUUUGGAACGCCAAUGGUGAAAACAGGUAGCUGGGGGUGUGCUGACACUGAGACACGAAAGCCAGGGGAGCAAACGGG